RNAcentral lists this transfer RNA (81 nucleotides) under Paragonimus westermani. RNAcentral's name for it is "tRNA-Asn". It matches the Rfam family "tRNA". Rfam says of the family: Transfer RNA (tRNA) molecules are approximately 80 nucleotides in length. The record is from RNAcentral. Lineage: Eukaryota; Metazoa; Platyhelminthes; Trematoda; Plagiorchiida; Troglotrematidae.
GACUUCGUAGUUAAGCUGGUAGAACACUUGCCAUGUUUAGGCAUGGUGUUUCUGACACUGGUUGGAAUCCAGUCGAAGCUU